AUUGAACGCUGGCGGCAUGCCUUACACAUGUAAGUCGAACGGCAGCGCGGGGCAACCUGGCGGCGAGUGGCGAACGGGUGAGUAAUAUAUCGGAACGUACCCUGGAGUGGGGGAUAACGUAGCGAAAGUUACGCUAAUACCGCAUACGAUCUAAGGAUGAAAGCAGGGGACCGCAAGGCCUUGUGCUCCUGGAGCGGCCGAUAUCUGAUUAGCUAGUUGGUGGGGUAAAGGCCUACCAAGGCAUCGAUCAGUAGCUGGUCUGAGAGGACGACCAGCCACACUGGAACUGAGACACGGUCUAGACUCCUACGGGAGGCAGCAGUGGGGAAUUUUGGACAAUGGGCGCAAGCCUGAUCCAGCAAUGCCGCGUGAGUGAAGAAGGCCUCGGGUUGUAAAGCUCUUUUGUCAGGGAAGAAACGGCGCGGGCUAAUAUCCUGCGCUAAUGACGGUACCUGAAGAAUAAGCACCGGCUAACUACGUGCCAGCAGCCGCGGUAAUACGUAGGGUGCAAGCGUUAAUCGGAAUUACUGGGCGUAAAGCGUGCGCAGGCGGUUUUGUAAGUCUGUCGUGAAAUCCCCGGGCUCAACCUGGGAAUUGCGAUGGAGACUGCAAGGCUAGAAUCUGGCAGAGGGGGGUAGAAUUCCACGUGUAGCAGUGAAAUGCGUAGAGAUGUGGAGGAACACCGAUGGCGAAGGCAGCCCCUGGGUCAAGAUUGACGCUCAUGCACGAAAGCGUGGGGAGCAAACAGGAUUAGAUACCCUGGUA
RNAcentral lists this ribosomal RNA (765 nucleotides) under uncultured bacterium. RNAcentral's name for it is "bacterial SSU rRNA". It matches the Rfam family "Bacterial small subunit ribosomal RNA", at positions 28 to 792 of the family's 1533-position model. The record is from RNAcentral.